GCCUUGGUAGCUCAAUUGGCUAGAGCGUGGGACUUUUACUAAACGGAAAAUAAUCCGGAUUCUUCGAAAUCCCAAGGUUGCGGGUUCGACCCCCGCCUGAGGCG
Daldinia grandis is the source of this 104-nucleotide non-coding RNA. Lineage: Eukaryota; Fungi; Ascomycota; Sordariomycetes; Xylariales; Hypoxylaceae. The record is from the annotation of a GenBank genome assembly.